This is a long non-coding RNA of Sapajus apella (tufted capuchin), 505 nucleotides long. RefSeq lists it as uncharacterized. The record is from RefSeq and is a predicted model, not a curated record. The transcript has 3 exons. NCBI's taxonomy places the organism in Eukaryota, Metazoa, Chordata, Mammalia, Primates, Cebidae.
AUGCCUGGCCUGGAGACAUUUUUUUUAAUGUUCCAGAAGGCAGCUUUUAAACUAAUUUUUGGAAAACUACAAAUUCCAACUUAGCUGUAUAACCUAUGAUGCCCUGAAAUUUCCCAGCUACUGGGAAUGAAGUGUGAAUGACGGCUUAAGGCUCUAGAAGGUCUCCAUAUGUUUGGGUGAGAUUUUGCUGUGAGUUUCCCUUAAUGCACUGUCUUGUCUGAAUGGCUUUAAAACUAACAAAAGUGACUACUCCCUAAGAGUCUGAGCUCCACAGGAAGGGUUUUUCUGUGAUCGUGACCAUCUUUUCUGUGCUUCCGUUUCUCUUUCUGCAGGGAGAAAACUUUUCCUAUAGUGGAUUUCUAACAUAUUUUUAAUGAAGGUGGGCCUAGACCCUGUGGCUUUUGAAACUCAAGGUAUAAUUAAAGAGACUAAGACCAGGCAGAAUUGACUCAGAAGGCUGUGUGGGAGCUGGAGAGCAAGGGUGUCACUCUGUGGCCCAGGCUGG